AUACUCCUUUUGGCAGCACAUACACUAAAAUUGGAAUAAUAUAGAGAAAAUUACCAUGGCUCCUAUUCAAGGAUGACACAAAAAUGCACAAAGUGUUCCAUAUUUUU
This is a small nuclear RNA of Cricetulus griseus (Chinese hamster), 107 nucleotides long. The record is from Ensembl. Lineage: Eukaryota; Metazoa; Chordata; Mammalia; Rodentia; Cricetidae.